Non-coding RNA from Aegilops tauschii subsp. strangulata, 919 nucleotides. NCBI's taxonomy places the organism in Eukaryota, Viridiplantae, Streptophyta, Magnoliopsida, Poales, Poaceae. The record is from RefSeq and is a predicted model, not a curated record.
AUGGACGAGUUGGUUGAAUAGUCCCCCCAUUUUCGUCUGGUUUUUUUUCGACUGGUUUUUUUUCGACUGGUUUUUUCCGUCCCCACACCCACCACACGCACGCAAAAAAACACCACCCGGCACAAACACCUCUCGUAUCGAUCCCCUCGAGGAGAAGCCGUCGCCCCCAUCUCCCGCUCCGCCGCCACCGCCCCCCGCCUUACCGUAUCACCCCCGCCGCCGCCUCCCUCGCCCGCGGCCAUGAUGAGAUCUGGCGUGGGCACCGCAGAUCACCCUCUGGUGCAUGGCCUCGACCAGUUUGCUAUGAUCUGGCGACGGGGAUGCAAGGAGAAGCUGCUGCGGUUUCAAGGGGCCGUGAGGAUGCCCACCAUGAAGGCGUGUCUGGGAUGAUGGAGGUGAUAUCCAGGCCCUGGUGAUAUCGGCCAGGUCCCCGUUGCCGUCGACUGGCGGCGGCCACCGUGUCCUCUUCCAUGGCGUCGGCGGGGCCUUCCCCUGCCAAGCGCAGCCGCUCCUUGGCUGGAUCACCGUCGCACACCUCGCCGGCGUGGUCGGCAAGAUCUGCAUCUCGAUCCUCGCCACUCUCCAUCCUCUUGCAGGUUUAUAAAUUUCGAAAUAUAGUUGCAGCUUCACGGAAUGGACGGCCCAAAUUAUGUUAGUGUCUAUAUGUUUACUUGGUGGUGGUCUAGCAUGAGUGACACCUGCAUCUGUAACUUACCCAUUGGAUGUUGUUCGAAAUCACCUGACAACACAGGUGAUGCUUUUCUUCCUUUUGUGAUUUGUGAAUAACACUAAGCCAAUCAAUCAAUCAAUAUAACUUCCAGUUAGAACUUAGAGCAUCUUUACCUAACGCUUUCAUGCAAUGCAGCUUUACAGACCAAAGGAACAGGUUUUAGUAAGCUAAACUUUCAUGUCUAUAAAA